CAAGAGGGCUCGCGAUGCCCGGUGCUCUGCUUCUCUCCCCAAGCGGCUCCAACGGCCAGCGCCGGGCCAGGCAGAAGCCAGGAGGCUUGACCUCCAUUCAGGGCGCCCAGGAGGCCGGGAGGCGUGGUCCCUGGGUCACAGGCUGGAGAGGCCGCCCCGCCUGCAGCCCUGGGGCUUCGGACGCUGGACGCGGCAGGCAGCGCGGAGGUGCGUCCCGCGGCGCCACGGUGGCCGCCCAUGGGGAGUGCGCCUGCGCCCGGCGCUGUGACCCGGAAGUGGCCCCUUGUGCCCCGGAAGUGGCCCCUCGUGGCCCGCGGCGCUCAGGUAGGAGUCCUCGCGGGUCCCGUCCGCUGCUGCCGGAGAGCCCGCGCGAGCCGUCGGGAGCCGUCCUGGACGCUGCCGGCGGAGCCUGCGGGAGACCCAGCGCCCCCGGGGUCAGGCCGGGCUCAGAGAGGCUGCGGCCCGAGGCUGCCGCGCCGUUUCCCGGGCGCGGUUCUCUUCUUCGGCCCUUCGUGGAAGCAGCGGCCUUCGCGGGCCCCUGUGCCGCCAGCAGACCGGGCCCCCUUGGCGGUACAUCUCCUGCUCAGCCAUCCUCAGAUGGAAGUCUGCUCCUCAUCUGUUCCUGCCCAAAAGCCUGUUCAAGUCUUGAGGAGCCGUCCUCGAUGCUGCUGGCGGAGCCUGAGUGAGACCCAGUGCCUCCGGGGUCAGGCCUGA
RNAcentral lists this long non-coding RNA (714 nucleotides) under Oryctolagus cuniculus (rabbit). RNAcentral's name for it is "lncRNA (ENSOCUG00000039463.1)". Lineage: Eukaryota; Metazoa; Chordata; Mammalia; Lagomorpha; Leporidae. The record is from RNAcentral.